This is a small nucleolar RNA of Octodon degus (degu), 71 nucleotides long. RefSeq annotates it as small nucleolar RNA SNORD49. The record is from RefSeq and is a predicted model, not a curated record. NCBI's taxonomy places the organism in Eukaryota, Metazoa, Chordata, Mammalia, Rodentia, Octodontidae. The transcript has a single exon.
UGUUGUGAUGAGAAUGAGUAAUAGGAAGUACCGUCAAAAGCAAUAACUGGGAGCUGGGGAGAUGGCUCAGU